UCCAGGAAGUACACUUAAGCAGAAACAGGAAGUAAAAGUAGGAAGGGGCCCAUCUAAGCAUCAGAUAAAGAAUUUUCAGGCUAAAGGAACAGCACAGAUGAGGCGGUAAAAAAUCUGAGUCCCUGGAGGGAAGAGACCACGGGGGCUGGACCAUAGUGACCAAGAACAGGAGUUGGGCAGAUGCGCUGAGAAGUGGCCGGCGUAGACCCCCAGGACUGGCGCAGACUCCUGCAAGGAGUGCAAGGGGAAGGCCGUGAACGGGCCCAAGCACCGUGUGUGUGAGUGUGCCCAGGUACUGGCGCAUGAACUCUGGCUGUGCACAGAAUGAACUGGAAGAAAAGCCAGACUAAAGACAUCAAUUGACAAGAUGAAUGACUGAUCUAAAGUCUUCACAGUGAUUCCAGCGGAUCAUCUCACCCACUCAUACUCUUGGCAACCCAACUGACAAGGAGAGGGACUUCCUCAAGGUCCCCAAGUAAGCAACUGACCCCAGGAGCUCCAACUCCAGAGCCCAGGAUCUCAAUCUCUACUUAAGAUAAAGAAAAUACAUUUGAAUACAUGCAGCAUGGAUGGCUCUCGGAAACCCAAGAGCAAGGGCAACAGAUCUCCUUCCCACACACAGAGGAAGAUGUGGAUGGUGCUGACCUGACCA
Molecule: long non-coding RNA, 652 nt
Organism: Mustela erminea (ermine)
Lineage: Eukaryota; Metazoa; Chordata; Mammalia; Carnivora; Mustelidae
Exons: 4
Source: RefSeq, a predicted model, not a curated record